RNAcentral lists this transfer RNA (69 nucleotides) under Longitarsus dorsalis. RNAcentral describes it as "tRNA-Gln". Lineage: Eukaryota; Metazoa; Arthropoda; Insecta; Coleoptera; Chrysomelidae. The record is from RNAcentral.
UAUGUUUUAGUAUAUGGGGUAUAUUAAUUUUUGAUAUUAAUGGAAAUAGUUUAAGUCUAUUAAACAUAA